UCUUUUCCACGUAACCCCAUUUCCACUUCACAAAAAGCAUGAAUCCAUCUCGCACAAGAUUUUCCUACUAAAGUUUACGAGGUUUUUUCACUUCAAAUUUUUGGUAAAAUUUUCUGGGUACUACCACUUUUAGUCGGAAAUUCACCAGCCGACCGGUCAACGAUCAUGAACCAGUCUCAGCUGCUGAACCGGAGUUACCACCCUUGGCCACCACCACGUCCCACAAUGAUACCCGAAAAUCAACCCGCGCUGGUUUUUUCACAAAGACCUAGUUACACUCCAGCGAACGUAAACCGGAGUAAUUGGAAAUACCGGCCGAACAACAAACCCCGCCGGUUUUUUCACACAAUGAUACCCGAAAAUCAACCCGCACCGGUUUUUUCACAAGGACCUAGUUACACUCCAGCGAACGAAAACCGGAGUAAUUGGAAAUACCGGCCGAACAACAAACCCCCCCGGUUUUUCAGAAGAAGAAACAGAGUC
This 483-nucleotide long non-coding RNA is filed under the name Nicotiana benthamiana. RNAcentral describes it as "long non-coding RNA (NBEN_LNC005741)". The record is from RNAcentral. Lineage: Eukaryota; Viridiplantae; Streptophyta; Magnoliopsida; Solanales; Solanaceae.